GACGAACGCUGGCGGCGUGCUUAAUACAUGCAAGUCAACUGAACUUGAGGUAGCAAUAUCACAAGAGAGGUGGCGCACGGGUGAGUAACACGUAGGUAAUCUGCCUUUAGGUCUGACAUAAUUCCGCGAAAGCGGGACUAAUAUCAGAUGAUGCAGCGGCUCGACAUCGAGACAGUUGUUAAACCUUCGGGCCUAAAGAUGAGCCUGCGUCUGAUUAGGUAGUUGGCGGAGUAAAAGCCCACCAAGCCUGCGAUCAGUAGCUGGUCUGAGAGGAUGAUCAGCCACACUGGAACUGAGACACAGUCCAGACUCCUACGGGAGGCAGCAGUAAGGAAUAUUGCUCAA
Molecule: ribosomal RNA, 345 nt
Filed under: uncultured bacterium
Lineage: Bacteria
Description: bacterial SSU rRNA
Rfam family: Bacterial small subunit ribosomal RNA
Source: RNAcentral